GCUUUUCAAGAUGCAUUCAAACAAUUUCAAAGUAUAUCAUAGGUAAAUGAAAAUCAUCACAAGAGAGGAAUUUUUCAUGAAUCUUACUCUCAAUUCAAUCAUCAACCUUAAAACACAUGUUUACAUAUAUAUAUAAUUUCAAAUCAAUUUGAGGAAAGGCCUAAAGACCAAAACAAUAUCAUCAACGCUUCUAAAACAUGAAUAUAUUCGUAACUCCGACAUCCUUUUCUUAACACUACUAGAAAAACAGAAAAAAACGACCAUCAAUAACCGACCACUACCACAAAACUGACCAAAC
Molecule: long non-coding RNA, 298 nt
Filed under: Capsicum annuum
Lineage: Eukaryota; Viridiplantae; Streptophyta; Magnoliopsida; Solanales; Solanaceae
Description: long non-coding RNA (CANN_LNC005913)
Source: RNAcentral